RNAcentral lists this long non-coding RNA (325 nucleotides) under Sorghum bicolor (sorghum). Its description in RNAcentral is "long non-coding RNA (SBIC_LNC015998)". The record is from RNAcentral. Lineage: Eukaryota; Viridiplantae; Streptophyta; Magnoliopsida; Poales; Poaceae.
CAGCAGCAUGGUCCUGGUUCCAUUUUUGUUGCUCUUCUAGGAGUCUUCCAUGUUCUGCUUGCGUGUUUUGGAUGUCGAGGAGGGUGUUGUCGGUACGAGUGAAGAAAGCACCGGCCUCUUGAUAGUCAUCAUUUGUAAAAGCGUAGGAGGCGUCGGAGUAUCGUCCUGCAUAAAUUGGGGCGAAGGUCUAGAUCCUGAAGCUCCAUAUGGAUCAGUGGAGUACCUGCCCGUAUGAAAAGGCGGGUUUGUCCACUGGUGAUCUUGGCUCUACGGCCAUGUCUCCUCUGUUGGCUCUUGUGGUUGCGCAUGACGAACCCAUGGGUCU